UACGAAGGUGGCAAGCGUUGUUCGGAUUUACUGGGCGUACAGGGAGCGUAGGCGGUUGGGUAAGCCCUCCGUGAAAUCUCCAGGCUUAACCUGGAAAGUGCAGAGGGGACUGCUCAGCUAGAGGAUGGGAGAGGAGCGCGGAAUUCCCGGUGUAGCGGUGAAAUGCGUAGAGAUCGGGAGGAAGGCCGGUGGCGAAGGCGGCGCUCUGGAACAUUUCUGACGCUGAGGCUCGAAAGCGUGGGGAGCAAACAGGAUUAGAUACCCUGGUAGUCCACGCCUUAAACGAUGGAUACUAAGUGUCGGCGGGUUACCGCCGGUGCCGCAGCUAACGCAGUAAGUAUCCCGCCUGGGAAGUACGGCCGCAAGGUUGAA
RNAcentral lists this ribosomal RNA (372 nucleotides) under uncultured Nitrospira sp. Its description in RNAcentral is "bacterial SSU rRNA". It matches the Rfam family "Bacterial small subunit ribosomal RNA", at positions 524 to 898 of the family's 1533-position model. The record is from RNAcentral. Lineage: Bacteria; Pseudomonadati; Nitrospirota; Nitrospiria; Nitrospirales; Nitrospiraceae.